GGGGGCGAGUUGGUUUCGACGGGGGACUGGAAUCCCGUGGCGCAUGCCGAGGUACCGGUGGCCUCGUUAAACCCCGGUCGUAUAUAGCUGCCAACGAUACCGGCUACGCACUGGCUGCCUAAUUAACUUUAGGUAAGUCGGCGCUGCCCUGACGGCGCCCGUAACGUCAGGACGCAGUGUCAUAAGCUCGGGCUUGCUCCCUGUCGCCGCCUGGCCGGCAGGGGGGACUUCCAGUCAGGCUCAUCUUCCAGACUCCCUGUCCGUGGGGUCGCUGGCGGAGAAAUUAAACACGGAAUAAGCAUGUAGUGCCGCGAGGCUGAAAGCCUUCGGACGCGGGUUCGACUCCCGCCGCCUCCACCA
Molecule: transfer-messenger RNA, 360 nt
Filed under: bacterium
Lineage: Bacteria
Rfam family: transfer-messenger RNA
About the family: Bacterial tmRNA, also known as 10Sa RNA or SsrA, is named for its dual tRNA and mRNA-like properties. Its role is to liberate the mRNA from a stalled ribosome.
Source: RNAcentral